UACAGAGGUCUCGAGCGUUGUUCGGAUUCAUUGGGCGUAAAGGGUGCGUAGGCGGCGGGGUAAGUCUGAUGUGAAAUCCCGGGGCUCAACCCCGGAACUGCAUUGGAUACUGCCCUGCUUGAGUACUGGAGAGGAGACUGGAAUUUACGGUGUAGCAGUGAAAUGCGUAGAUAUCGUAAGGAAGACCAGUGGCGAAGGCGGCCUUCUGGACAGUGACUGACGCUGAGACGCGAAAGCGUGGGGAGCAAACAGG
Molecule: ribosomal RNA, 253 nt
Filed under: uncultured bacterium
Lineage: Bacteria
Description: partial 16S ribosomal RNA
Rfam family: Bacterial small subunit ribosomal RNA
Source: RNAcentral